Molecule: ribosomal RNA, 253 nt
Filed under: uncultured bacterium
Lineage: Bacteria
Description: partial 16S ribosomal RNA
Rfam family: Bacterial small subunit ribosomal RNA
Source: RNAcentral
UACGGAGGGUGCAAACGUUGCUCGGAAUCAUUGGGCGUAAAGCGCACGUAGGCGGCUCGUUAAGUCGGAUGUGAAAGCCCCGGGCUCAACCCGGGAAGUGCAUUCGAAACUGGCGAGCUUGAAUAUGGAAGAGGGUCGCGGAAUUCCCGGUGUAGAGGUGAAAUUCGUAGAUAUCGGGAGGAACACCAGUGGCGAAGGCGGCGACCUGGGCCAAUAUUGACGCUGAGGCACGAAAGCGUGGGGAGCAAAAGGG